AGACCGAUAGCGAACAAGUACAGUGAUGGAAAGAUGAAAAGCACUUUGAAAAGAGAGUGAAACAGCACGUGAAAUUGUUGAAAGGGAAGGGCUUGCAAGCAGACACGGUUUUACCGGGCCAGCGUCGAAAAGGGGGGAGGAACAAGAACUCGAGAAUGUGGCGCGCACCUUCGGGUGCGCGUGUUAUAGCUCGUGUUGACGCCUCCAUCCUUUUUCGAGGCCUGCGAUUCUAGGACGCUGGCGUAAUGGUUGCAAGCCGCCCGUCUUGAAACACGGACCAAG
This 282-nucleotide ribosomal RNA is filed under the name Clavispora lusitaniae. Its description in RNAcentral is "partial large subunit ribosomal RNA". It matches the Rfam family "Eukaryotic large subunit ribosomal RNA", at positions 331 to 670 of the family's 3401-position model. The record is from RNAcentral. Lineage: Eukaryota; Fungi; Ascomycota; Pichiomycetes; Serinales; Metschnikowiaceae.